Molecule: ribosomal RNA, 473 nt
Filed under: uncultured bacterium
Lineage: Bacteria
Description: partial 16S ribosomal RNA
Rfam family: Bacterial small subunit ribosomal RNA
Source: RNAcentral
GAUAAACGCUGGCGGCGCACAUAAGACAUGCAAGUUGAACGGACUUAAUCGAAAUAUUUAUAUUUUGAAGCGGUUAGUGGCGGACUGGUGAGUAACGCGUAAGGAACCUGCCUAUUAGAGGGGAAUAACAGUGAGAAAUCAUUGCUAAUACCGCAUAUGCCAUAGAUAUCACAUGAUAACAGUGGGAAAGGAGCAAUCCGCUAAUAGAUGGCCUUGCGUCUGAUUAGAUAGUUGGUGGGGUAACGGCCUACCAAGUCGACGAUAAGUAGCCGGAGUGAGAGGUUGAACGGAUACAUAGUGAGUGAGAGACGGCACAGACACGGACGGGAGGAAGCAGGAGGGAAUAUUGCGCAAUGGAGGAAAGACGGACGAAGGGACGCUGCGUAUAGGAAGAAGGUUGGCGGAUUGUAAACUAUUGUCGUUAGGGAAGAGAAAGGACAGUACCUAAGGAGGAAGCACCGGCUAACUACGUG